AAUGACUCGGAGCCAGCCCGGAAGACCAUGCGCAGAGGAGUGCUGGUGACCCUGCUGCAGCAGUCGGCCAUGACCCUGCCCCUGUGGAUCGGGAAGCCUGGUGACAAGUCCCCACCCCUCUGUGGGGCCAUCGCCACCUCGGGACUUCGUGGCCAGACCUGAAGACAAGGUGGCUGCCUGGGUAAAGGCUGUGGAUGGGGACGAGCAGUAGAUCCUGGCCGAGGUGGUCAGUUACAGCCACACCACCAACAGGGAGUGCCACCAGCCCCAGGAAUGCUCUCUAGUCACCGCACCUGCCUGGGCUUUGGCUCUGCAGCAGGAGAAAAGGUCCCCAGAGGGUGCUGUGGGCGGGGCCUGCUAUGCAGGGAGCACCCAGUUCUUGGGCUGUCCCUGUCCUCUUCACUUUCCGACAGGGACCGAGACCCUGGCUGCAUCCGGCGUGUUCUUUCUCUUGUCUGCAUGUAUGAGGUAGAUGACAUCGAUGAAGAAGGCAAAGAGAGACACAGCCUGAGCUGGUGUGGGUCACCCUGCUGCCCCAGUGGAUGGCCAACCCCGAGAUGGACUCCACGAACUUGUUUGGGCCAGGGCAGGGCAUGGAGCCCGGGUGAGGCAGGAUAGGCCAUGAAGGAGACAACAACGUUCUGGGGAUGCUGCCACUCUGGUGACCGCACAGCCAACAUAGUA
Long non-coding RNA from Saimiri boliviensis boliviensis (Bolivian squirrel monkey), 684 nucleotides. RefSeq lists it as uncharacterized. Lineage: Eukaryota; Metazoa; Chordata; Mammalia; Primates; Cebidae. The record is from RefSeq and is a predicted model, not a curated record.